AGAGUUUGAUCCUGGCUCAGGACGAACGCUGGCGGCGCGCCUAACACAUGCAAGUCGAACGAGCGAGAGAGAGCUUGCUUUCUCAAGCGAGUGGCGAACGGGUGAGUAACGCGUGAGGAACCUGCCUCAAAGAGGGGGACAACAGUUGGAAACGACUGCUAAUACCGCAUAAGCCCACAGGUCGGCAUCGACCAGAGGGAAAAGGAGCAAUCCGCUUUGAGAUGGCCUCGCGUCCGAUUAGCUAGUUGGUGAGGUAACGGCCCACCAAGGCAACGAUCGGUAGCCGGACUGAGAGGUUGAACGGCCACAUUGGGACUGAGACACGGCCCAGACUCCUACGGGAGGCAGCAGUGGGGAAUAUUGCACAAUGGGGGAAACCCUGAUGCAGCGACGCCGCGUGGAGGAAGAAGGUCUUCGGAUUGUAAACUCCUGUUGUUGAGGAAGAUAAUGACGGUACUCAACAAGGAAGUGACGGCUAACUACGUGCCAGCAGCCGCGGUAAAACGUAGGUCACAAGCGUUGUCCGGAAUUACUGGGUGUAAAGGGAGCGCAGGCGGGAAGACAAGUUGGAAGUGAAAUCUAUGGGCUCAACCCAUAAACUGCUUUCAAAACUGUUUUUCUUGAGUAGUGCAGAGGUAGGCGGAAUUCCCGGUGUAGCGGUGGAAUGCGUAGAUAUCGGGAGGAACACCAGUGGCGAAGGCGGCCUACUGGGCACCAACUGACGCUGAGGCUCGAAAGUGUGGGUAGCAAACAGGAUUAGAUACCCUGGUAGU
RNAcentral lists this ribosomal RNA (773 nucleotides) under uncultured bacterium. RNAcentral's name for it is "bacterial SSU rRNA". It matches the Rfam family "Bacterial small subunit ribosomal RNA", at positions 8 to 794 of the family's 1533-position model. The record is from RNAcentral.